RNAcentral lists this ribosomal RNA (600 nucleotides) under uncultured bacterium. RNAcentral's name for it is "bacterial SSU rRNA". It matches the Rfam family "Bacterial small subunit ribosomal RNA", at positions 338 to 961 of the family's 1533-position model. The record is from RNAcentral.
CCUACGGGAGGCAGCAGUGGGGAAUCUUGCGCAAUGGGCGAAAGCCUGACGCAGCCAUGCCGCGUGAAUGAUGAAGGUCUUAGGAUUGUAAAAUUCUUUCAGUAGGGACGAUAAUGACGGUACCUACAGAAGAAGCCCCGGCUAACUUCGUGCCAGCAGCCGCGGUAAUACGAAGGGGGCUAGCGUUGCUCGGAAUUACUGGGCGUAAAGGGAGCGUAGGCGGGUUAUCAAGUUGGAGGUGAAAGCCCAGGGCUCAACCUUGGAAUAGCCUUCAAAACUGAUAACCUAGAGGAUGGAAGAGGUAAGUGGAACUCCGAGUGUAGAGGUGAAAUUCGUAGAUAUUCGGAAGAACACCAGUGGCGAAGGCGACUUACUGGUCCAUUACUGACGCUGAGGCUCGAAAGCGUGGGGAGCAAACAGGAUUAGAUACCCUGGUAGUCCACGCUGUAAACGAUGAUUGCUAGUUGUCGGCAGCAUGCUCGUCGGUGACGCAGCUACGCAUAAGACAAUACCGCCGUCGGGUAGGUACGGUCGCGAGAUUAAACUACAAAGAAGUAGACGGCGUGAGACGUGCCGACGGACGACGACGAGGGAGGUAGG